CACAUUUUGAAUAGUUUUAUUUUCCCAUAAUUGAGUGCAUUUGUAAACAACCAUACAAACACUGCCUUUUUUAUUUCGUAAUUAAAACAAACUAUCGUUACAUUUUUUUUUACAAGCACGCAUAUUGAAGUUGGAACAUUGGAACUCUCCCUGGCUCAGUGUUUUAAUGUGUUUCUGAAAAUAACAAGACUGAAAGUAAGAACUCACCCAACUCAGCAACAUAGAAAUGUGUACAGCAAUAUAUAAUUUAACAAUGACUCGUUGGCAGAACAGUUCUCUUGCAGAGGACAUUUUAUUCUCAUUGGACUAGCCUACUUCAAGAUCAAACUGAAGGUCAAAUAAAAAAUACUCAGUCACCAUUUGAAGGAAUUCACCAUUCAGAGAAAUGUUUGGGGUUGUUUUUAUACCACUGAAAGACUGAAGUAGUCUACUGUAUCUCCUCUUCCUUCUCACCAGAGGGACAUAUGAGUUUAAAGAUAUCUAUUCAGAUCCAGGUCAUCAACGAUCCUAGUUAAAUAACAAUGCCUAGUUAAAUACAGGUAAAACAACAACAAUGGCAUCGUUCAGGUCUAAUUACUCUGUCACUACAAUGAACUAAUGAUUGGGGGAGGGGGCGGUAAUCAUUUGCUAAUUAUUGACAGUGGGAAAGUAUUAAUUGUAUGAUGUCUCAAUAGAUCGAAAAUGAGUACAAAUUGUGGAGAGGCAAACUUUCUGUUGUAUACCAUCCUGUGUCUUUUGCAGGGGGAGUAUACAGUAUAUUCAACAGCCAAUUAUAGCUCUAGUAAGAGUCAGUAAACUCCAGACCGACAGACUUUUUGAAAAUGUUUUUUUAGGCGUGUUUGGCAUGCAGUUCAGUCAUGGGCAAAAUCGCCUUUGACAUUUGAAAGACUUUUUGAUUGAUAUUGACAUAUCAAAGCAGAGAAACUGCCAUGUUCUGCAGAGGUUGUAAAAACACUGACUGCAUUUUAAAGGCAAAACACAAAAUUAGCUACAAAACAUCUGUUUAGGUCUAUGCAUGCAGUCUUCAAUUUAGUCAAAACAUCAUGAUUUAACAAAUGUAAUUCCAAUUUACCAAACCUUCUCAAAUGUCAAAAAUAAACAAUUUGGGAGAAUGUUAGACGAAUGCUGCUUUUAAUCCAAGGUUAUUCUAGCAUGCUAGGCAAUAGAUGCCUGAAUGUCCAGCUUCAAGAUCCAUAUGGUCUCUGCCUGUUUGGGAAUGCUUGUGUGGAUCCAAAAGAAACCCUAUCAAAACCCUGGUCACAUGUGAGUUAUAGGGAUCCAUAACCCUCGUGACAGGUGAGUUAUAGGGCUGCAUAACCCUCGUGACAGGUGAGUUAUAGGGAUCCAUAACCCUCGUGACAGGUGAGUUAUAGGGAUCCAUAACCCUCGUGACAGGUGAGUUAUAGGGAUCCAUAAGCCUUGUGACAGGUGAGUUAUAGGGAUCCAUAACCCUCGUGAUAGGUGAGUUAUAGGGAUCCAUAACCCUCGUGACAGGUGAGUUAUAGGGCUGCAUAACCCUCGUGACAGGUGAGUUAUAGGGCUGCAUAACCCUCGUGACAGGUGAGUUAUAGGGCUGCAUAACCCUCGUGACAGGUGAGUUAUAGGGCUGCAUAACCCUCGUGACAGGUGAGUUAUAGGGCUGCAUAACCCUUGUGACAGGUGAGUUAUAGGGAUCCAUAAGCCUCGUGACAGGUGAGUUAUAGGGCUGCAUACUGAAUUCUGAGGGCAUGUUCCAUAUCUCUACCUCGAGGUGACAAGACACACACUUUGUUUUAGCAAUCAUACACACACGCACACACAUCCCUCUGUGUCUCCCGGUUCUCUCUCCAGACAUCUCAGUCGAUCCCAGGGGAGAGCAAUCCGUCACCGAGCUACUUUCUUUUGAAAGAGGAAAACAUCUCCAAUUGAACGCUGGAUUCAGGCUUCUUUGUGUCAACCCCAUCAUAUUGUAGGCCUCUUGAAACUGAUCACAGUCAAUAUACAGUAUCAAUGGUCAAUUGAUUGAUUAUAAAUGUGUGUUAUAUGUAUUGAGCUGCAGAUUAUCAGUUUGUCUAUUUGUCAAUGGAAAGGCCAAAUCAGAAUCAUAAAAAAAGCCUAAGCCAUCAUGUUAAGAAGGCCGUCAUGUUAAGAAGGCCAUCAUGUUAAGAAGGCCAUCAUGUUAAGAAGGCCAUCAUGUUAAGAAGGCCAUCAUGUUAAGAAGGCCGUCAUGUUAAGAAGGCCGUCAUGUUAAGAAGGCCGUCAUGUUAAGAAGGCCGUCAU
RNAcentral lists this long non-coding RNA (2259 nucleotides) under Salmo salar (Atlantic salmon). RNAcentral describes it as "lncRNA (ENSSSAG00000104332.1)". The record is from RNAcentral. Lineage: Eukaryota; Metazoa; Chordata; Actinopteri; Salmoniformes; Salmonidae.